AGGGCCAUAUCACCUGUUCUCGUGCAACCAGUGAAAUUAAUCAACGUUGUGCCUGGUCAGUACAUAGAUGGGUGACCGCUUGGGAAUACUCGGUGCUGUAAGC
This is a non-coding RNA of Acanthosepion pharaonis, 103 nucleotides long. The record is from the annotation of a GenBank genome assembly. Lineage: Eukaryota; Metazoa; Mollusca; Cephalopoda; Sepiida; Sepiidae.